UUAGGAUAAAGGCAUACAGACUGCCUGUGUGGACCUUUCCAGAGCACCUUGAAGAAAAGCCUGCCAGGUGAAUCCUGGAAGAUAAUAGUGAACUACCUAAAACUUCACCAAUUAGUGGCCCCCACUGCAGCAGCAAUAUCAGAUGUGAUGUCUUUGUUAAAGCAGAUAAACAUAGCCUCAGGUACAAGGAAUGUGGUCAUUGAUAUGGUGUUCAUCUAGCAAACAUUCUACGAUAAACUUUCUGCAUACUCUUCUUCAUAUCAGAGUGCUCCUUCCUGAGGAUCCCAAUUAGUGAAUGUGAUACUGUGAUAUAACAAAUAUAUAUUUGGUCUUCAUCUGUUGCUUCUGACACAGAGCUCCUAAAACCCUUGGGAUUUUCUGAGUUAUAGGGGUGUCUUUUUUGUUAUUCCUAAUAAGUCCCUUUGAUCAUACCUCAGUUUAUGCUAAUUUGGUGACUUAGAGUGAGCCCACUAGAUAGCCUCAGUAUGGGCUAUAGCCCAAAUAAUUAAGAAAUAGCCCAAGUAAUUCAAGGGUUGAAACUUCAAGUCCCACCCACUGACUUUCUGGAAGAGGAGAAUAGGGGAGGCUCAAUAUUGAACUCUAUAAAAACUGUCGAACAAGGAGAUUUGAUAAGCUUCCAGGUUGGUGAACACAUCAAGGUUCUGGGAGGGUGGUACUCCUGGAACAGGCAUGGAAGCUUCACAUCUCCUCCCCAUACAUUGCCCUAUGCACCUCUUUCAUCUGGUUGUUCCUUAGUCUUAUCCUUUAUAACAGUAAAGUAUUUCCUUGAGUUCCGUGAGCCAUUCUAGCAAAAUAUUAACCUGAGAGGGGAGUCAUAAGAAUCCCUAAUUUAUAGCCAGUUGGUUGGAAGUACAGGUGACCCAGGGCUUGUGACUGGCAUCUGAAGUUGGGGCAGUCUUGUGGGACUGAACCCUUAAAUUUGUGAAUCUGACACUAACUCAGGUAGUUAUUUUUAGAAUUGAAUUAAGUUUUUGAACACCGAGCUGGUGUCAGAUAAUUGGUUGGUGUGGGAGAAACCUCCCUGUCAUGUUUUGUGUUAGAAGUAUUGAGAAAAAAAAAAAAACUCUUUUAUUUGAGGAAUGCCAGUCUCCUCUAAAUUAUCAGGCCCAGAGAGGCAAUGGAAUGAAACAGAGGUCAUGUCCCAUUAUCCCCUUUAGACUAAGUAAUCUGCUCUUGAAACUACUUGUUAAAAUCACAAGUAGCUAUAAAUUAAUCUAUCAAUGCUAGACACCAUAAUUUAUACAACAUAUAGCCAGUAUCACUAAUCAAUGUUAUUUCUGUAAACCAAUGAGAAUUCCUGACAAAAAACUUUGUAUAAGCCAACUCUUUGUCCCUGAUUUUUGCUUUUAAAAACCUGCUUGUAACAAAGGCCAAAUGGAGUUCAUAUCCAAGAUUACUUGGGUCUGAGUCUUCCAGGCAGCAGUCUCAUUUUGGCUCAAGUAAACUCUUCAAAAUUAUAUUUUGUGCCUCACUUUUUUUCCUUUAAGCCAACAUUCCUGGCACUAUGAGCAGGAUUCAGAGCAAGCCCCGACCUCAACAAUUUGACAGUCCUCUUGGAUUCAGCACCUGUUCAGCUGGAGCCUCUUGUGUUUUUCCAGAUCUAAGAGCAUUGUCACGUGUAUAUGAGUCCUGAAUUCGGACCUUCCUACCCUGAGGCUGAGGUCUAGUGUUUGCGUGAGCUGUUUUUCUCAGAUCUCCCUUCCAAGAAUGGGGCUUUCCAUCUCUAUCUAAGGUCAGGAGAUUUGGAUUUCAAGAUAAAAGAGAACUUUUACCUUCUCUGCCUCUGCCUCAUAGCAGAAGGUCUGGGUCACCAGUGCAGUCUAGCACUGGUGGUUGCACUACUUUUGGUCUAAAAUUACAUAGCAUGUUUUAAAAAUUACAGCUCCUUCCUCUUGAUUAUGAUUCAAAUGUGUCUUUUCAGUUAUGACCAAUUUUUGUUAGUUUCAAACCAAAAGGUGCAUGAGAGUGAAUUCUCUCACCCCAAAAUUAAGAGACACUUGCUCCCUCCAACUAAUUAACAAUUUAAUCCAAUUGGCAUCUGGUGGCAAGAGAUUUUUUGAAAGUGACAGAUUGUUCGUCCAUGACAAGUAGUGGUUUUAUAGGGCUUCCCCACAAGAACACCUAUUGCAACUUUCAGCUCAACCAGAAGGUGCACAUAAGGGUUGAUCACCUGGCACCUUGAACACACUGCCACCACAAGGCAAUCAGAUAUUUUGAGACACGUAAGAGAGUGAUCCAAGACUCUUUGAUGACACUUGGAGGAGUGAUGCUCAUGAGCAGCACCCUUUGACCCAAAACACAUUUCUGGCCUUGGUCACUUUUGAAAAGUUCCUAAAUUAUAGGAAAUCAACCUUCAGAAUCUGAGCACUCUUUUACAGGACAGUCUUCUUUAGAAAUACAAGCUGGUUCUGUGUAUAACACUUACGGGGCAUCUUCUUAUAAAUAUCUAAAGAAAAUGAGCCCACAUAAUCCAGGAUGGUCAUAAGCAGCAAUGGCUGAAAUGAGGGUCCUUUGAAGUCCUAAAAUAAUUUAUUUGUGUGCAUAAUUGAAAAAAACUAGUUUUAGAACAUGACAAAUUGAUGGGAGCACCCAUUCAAUGGCACCUAGAAGCUUCUAAAAGAAAUUGUAACAAAAUUGACUGCAUUCAGGAGGUAAACAAAAGGAUAUCUGACACUAUUUCUGAAUUUAAAAAGACUAUGGAGGUCUUCUCCCUUCCAUCUCCAACUCCUCCUCCUCCUAACCCCUCACCUUUAUAUCCUGUCUUAUUCAAACUUCCUGCCCUGACUUAACUCCCCUUCUACCACCAUCACCUGAGGAAACUCUCCUGGUCUCUGGCCCCCUCCCUGGAACUUCUAUUUUUGCAGUCUCUUUCAGGGUAAAACCCAUAGCAAGAGGUGAGCCUAUUAUUAUAUAUGCCCCUUGGACAAAGACUGAACUUAAGAAUACCAUGAAAGACUUCCCAGACCCAUUCCAAGAUCCCAUAGGGUUUGCAAAAGAAUUUGAU
Molecule: long non-coding RNA, 3025 nt
Filed under: Homo sapiens (human)
Lineage: Eukaryota; Metazoa; Chordata; Mammalia; Primates; Hominidae
Description: HSALNT0112262
Source: RNAcentral